Molecule: long non-coding RNA, 1440 nt
Filed under: Vigna radiata
Lineage: Eukaryota; Viridiplantae; Streptophyta; Magnoliopsida; Fabales; Fabaceae
Description: long non-coding RNA (VRAD_LNC009539)
Source: RNAcentral
UUUGUCUCUUCAUCUCUGAUCACAUGAAUUAAGCCUCACUGUGAUUCAAUUCUUCUAAGUUGUUUGUUCUUGUUUCGGUCCUUUCGGCCGGCCCAUAUAUCAGAUUGAACGGAUUUAUUGACUCAGCAUUCACAUUCAUGAAGGGCUGGUAAGAAAUAAUAUUACAUCGUCUUAUUUAUCCAUACAAGCCUGACUUAAAUCGUAUAUAUGACCAAGUGUAAAAAAUUUAAUGAUUAGCGAGAAUUUUUUUUGGUUGCUAGGUAAAAAAUGUAGUGCUUUUCUGACGAUGCAAUUUAACUAAUAUUCAUGUUUCAUCUUUUGCUUAUGUUAACGUAUGAAUAUGGGAUGAUCAUCAUCUGAUGGGUUAUGCAAGUUAAAACCUGAUUGUGUGUAUGCUUUUUAAGAUUUGAACAUUAAGCACUCUUUUUGAUGUGUGCAUUGUUGUGUUUACUUAUCUCUAUUUGGGUGAUUGCUUUGUGGGUGUUUAUGGCAUGCUGUUAAUGAUGCCUGGAUCCUAAAUUUCGCAUGUCUCUUGCAAAAGUUUCAGAAAAUUGCAGGAACUAUUAGUAGCUUAUAAUUCUAGUCUCCCUACUUCAACUGUGGUAAAAUUGGUAUGUGGUUUUUGAACGUUUGUACCUAAAAUUGACUUUGGUUAGACUUGAUUUUUUAGUGAAGUGAUUUAUGUUUGUUGGAUGUUUUUAUCCUGAAACCCAGUUUACUAUAAAACUUGGCUAGUUUUUCAAUCCAGUUGAAAAGCUACUAUUUGUCAUUCUAGUCAAAUCUAGCUUUGCAGCAAAACCAGUUUUACUUAGCAAUAAUCAAAGAACCAUAAUUUUAUAAAAUCAAGUCUGCUGUGAAAAUCAAUUCUUAUUAUUCCCAUGCUGUAAGAGCAAACACAAUUUUAGUAUAUCAUGCAGAUAUAGUUGAAUGUGUGGAGCCUUAUGUGAAUGCCAGUUUGAUGAUUCGGUGUUGGGAGUUUAUCUCAGUUUCAAUUAUUUUGUUCAAAAUAUCAUGCAGAUGGAAUUGGAUGUGCUGAGCCUUUUAUGAAGGAGAGUUUGAUGAUGCGGUUGAGAAGUUAUCUUGAUCUGAAUUAUUUUGUUUGCAUGCUACAUGUUCAAUAAAUGCUAGAUUUCUAGAAAACAUGAUGAUAGGCCCAUAUCAUAUAAAAUUCUGAUUCUAGCUUCACUUAUUAAUGGAACCUUAUCUGUUUUGUAUAUCAAGCUUUCAUUACUACUUUAUUAUGGAUGGAAACAGAUGAAGCUUAUUAAUACCUUCUGUUAUAUUGACCUGUCGAUUGACAUUGUCAAAUUGCUUUUGCCCUGUGACAAGUCAAUCUGGCCCGUUAUUCAAUCACUUUAUCAUCAGCCCCUGUUCUAAGUUAUUCUGAAGAUCUGUUUUCAGUUGAUUCGUCGUUAUUCGUGAAUUAAUAAUUGUCAACAA